UGCCUACGGGAGGCUGCAGUGGGGAAUAUUGGACAAUGGGCGAAAGCCUGAUCCAGCAACGCCGCGUGAGGGAUGACGGCCUUCGGGUUGUAAACCUCUUUCAGUAGGGACGAAGCGCAAGUGACGGUACCUACAGAAGAAGCACCGGCCAACUACGUGCCAGCAGCCGCGGUAAUACGUAGGGUGCGAGCGUUGUCCGGAAUUAUUGGGCGUAAAGGGCUCGUAGGCGGUAUGUCACGUCGGGAGUGAAAACUCGGGGCUUACCUCCGAGCCUGCUUCCGAUACGGGCUGACUAGAGGUAUGCAGGGGAGAACGGAAUUCCUGGUGUAGCGGUGAAAUGCGCAGAUAUCAGGAGGAACACCGGUGGCGAAGGCGGUUCUCUGGGCAUUACCUGACGCUGAGGAGCGAAAGUGUGGGGAGCGAACAGGAUUAGAUACCCGAGUAGUCAU
Molecule: ribosomal RNA, 449 nt
Filed under: uncultured Nocardioidaceae bacterium
Lineage: Bacteria; Bacillati; Actinomycetota; Actinomycetes; Propionibacteriales; Nocardioidaceae
Description: bacterial SSU rRNA
Rfam family: Bacterial small subunit ribosomal RNA
Source: RNAcentral